AUGGAUCAUUACCAAUUUUUAAAUAUGAGUUUGUAUGUCCGCUCCUAGAGUGGUUAUACACAACUUCUAUUGUAAACGUUGAACUAGAUCAUUGGUGUGUGGAUUGUGUUUAUCCUUUCUUUGUUGAUUGGAUAGGCAUAUCCCACACUGAUACCUAUAUUUAAUUAUAUACAAUCAAUAUAUACUACCAAACAAACAAACAAAUAUAAAUCUAAUAGGACUUAUAAACAGUUGAGUGGGUAAAAGCCUCAGCUAAAAAUAUAACAAAAUACAACUUUCAGCAAUGGAUCUCUAGGCUCUC
This 301-nucleotide unclassified non-coding RNA is filed under the name uncultured fungus. Its description in RNAcentral is "partial contains 18S rRNA, ITS1, 5.8S rRNA, ITS2 and 28S rRNA". Lineage: Eukaryota; Fungi. The record is from RNAcentral.